Molecule: ribosomal RNA, 440 nt
Filed under: uncultured bacterium
Lineage: Bacteria
Description: partial 16S ribosomal RNA
Rfam family: Bacterial small subunit ribosomal RNA
Source: RNAcentral
CCUACGGGAGGCAGCAGUGGGGAAUAUUGGACAAUGGGGGGAACUCUGAUCCAGCGACGCCGCGUGAGUGAAGAAGUCUUUCGGUAUGUAAAGCUCUAUCAGCAGGGAAGAAAAUGACGGCACUUGACUAAGAAUCCCCGGCUACCUACGUGCUAGCAGCCGCGGGAAUACGUAGGGGGCAAGCGUUAUCCGGCUUUACUGGGUGGAAAGGGAGCGUAGGCGGUGCAGCAAGUCUGUGGUGAAAGGUCGGGGCCCAACCCCGGAACUGCAUUGGAAACGGUUGAGCUGGAGUAAAGGAGAGGAAAGCGGAAUUCCUAGUGUAGCGGUGGAAUGCGUAGAUAUUAGGAGGAACACCAGUGGCGAAGGCGGCUUGCUGGACUGUAACUGACGUUGAGGCUCGAAAGCGUGGGGAGCAAACAGGAUUAGAUACCCCAGUAGUC